This 77-nucleotide transfer RNA is filed under the name Nitrospina sp. RNAcentral's name for it is "tRNA-Pro". It matches the Rfam family "tRNA". From Rfam's summary of the family: Transfer RNA (tRNA) molecules are approximately 80 nucleotides in length. Lineage: Bacteria; Pseudomonadati; Nitrospinota; Nitrospinia; Nitrospinales; Nitrospinaceae. RNAcentral also lists the same sequence under 1 other name. The record is from RNAcentral.
CGGGAUGUAGCGCAGCCUGGUAGCGCACUUGCUUCGGGAGUAAGGGGUCGGAGGUUCAAAUCCUCUCAUCCCGACCA